GACGAACGCUGGCGGCGUGCCUAAUACAUGCAAGUUGAGCGCUGAAGGUUGGUACUUGUACCGACUGGAUGAGCAGCGAACGGGUGAGUAACGCGUGGGGAAUCUGCCUUUGAGCGGGGGACAACAUUUGGAAACGAAUGCUAAUACCGCAUAAAAACUUUAAACACAAGUUUUAAGUUUGAAAGAUGCAAUUGCAUCACUCAAAGAUGAUCCCGCGUUGUAUUAGCUAGUUGGUGAGGUAAAGGCUCACCAAGGCGAUGUUACAUAGCCGACCUGAGAGGGUGAUCGGCCACAUUGGGACUGAGACACGGCCCAAACUCCUACGGGAGGCAGCAGUAGGGAAUCUUCGGCAAUGGACGAAAGUCUGACCGAGCAACGCCGCGUGAGUGAAGAAGGUUUUCGGAUCGUAAAACUCUGUUGGUAGAGAAGAACGUUGGUGAGAGUGGAAAGCUCAUCAAGUGACGGUAACUACCCAGAAAGGGACGGCUAACUACGUG
This 497-nucleotide ribosomal RNA is filed under the name uncultured bacterium. Its description in RNAcentral is "partial 16S ribosomal RNA". It matches the Rfam family "Bacterial small subunit ribosomal RNA", at positions 28 to 507 of the family's 1533-position model. The record is from RNAcentral.